Molecule: long non-coding RNA, 245 nt
Organism: Eurytemora carolleeae
Lineage: Eukaryota; Metazoa; Arthropoda; Copepoda; Calanoida; Temoridae
Exons: 3
Source: RefSeq, a predicted model, not a curated record
GUGUAGAGUAUACAACUGUGUGGACACCAUUUUGUUGUGAACCGAAUACCGAUCAAAUUUCAUUUUCUUUCGUAAAUUCUCUGUUCCCAGAUACAUCAUUCUGGUUUCUGUGAUAACCGUUCAGGAGCAGUAAGGUUGACCUAUUCCAGUUCCGAUUCCAGUUCAGAUUCCAGUUCCGAUUCCAGUUCAGAUUCCAGUUCCGAUUCCAGCGAUCCGAGACAUUAUCUAAUUCCCGCUUGCGAGUA